CAUAAUUUGACUGCCUGUGGCCCCUUCCCUGAGGAUCUAUGAGGAAAGGCAGAUGUUAUGGCUAAAUUGAGUGCAGCUGAGAAGCAGCGGCAUUACAGGCAGCGUAGGGAUGCUGAUCCCGAACGCAGAAAAGGAUAUUUGCAGAGCAGGAAGCAGGGCUAUAUCAGAGAUGUUGAAAUGAAAAAGAGGAAAAGAGUGAGUGAGCUAAGUGAAAGAGAGAAGAAAGCACAACGAAAGGCAUGGAGAGUCCGUCAGCAACGGCACAGGGCAGGACUUAGAGCAGGAGCGGUGACCACUCCAUCAUCAACAGACAGCAACCCAUCACCCAACGUUUCAAGACAACCACAACAAGAGAGGCGAGCACGUAGGAGAGAUGCACAAAGCAAUCGAAGAGAAAUAGAGAAACUGAAAGAUGAGAUCAUCCUUUGGAAACGCAGAUAUGAAAAGGCGAAGAAACGUAACAUACGACUUCAGCAUGCAAAUCUGGUCAGUCCAGAAGUUAAAACACAAAACAUUCUUCAAGAGUUUAGACCCAAUGUCCUCGAAGACCAUCACAGUGGGCAAUGGUGUGUUGUUCGCUAUGAUGAUGAACCCUACCCUGGCAUAAUAUUGAAAGUGGAGGAAAAUAAUGUGGAAGUCAAGUGCAUGCACCGAAAUGGAGUGAAUAAGUUCUUCUGGCCAAGUUCCAGAGAUGAUAUUAACUGGUAUCAUGAUGACCAGAUCAUGUGCCUGAUUCCAGAGCCCCUAGCACUGAAUAGGCAUUCAGCUGAAAUUGAUCAGAGGUUCUGGGAGAUCAUUCUGAGACAGCAAGGCAAGUGAAAUAAGACUGAAGACCGAAGUGAAGAUUCUCCUUUAAGAUUUUCUGGUAGAGAGCAGAAUUCAUGUUUCCCUCAAUUAUUGCAAGUUUCCCAGGCCCUGAAGCAGCAAAGCAUCCCCACAUCAUCACAUUUCCACCACCAUGCUUCACUGUAGGUAUGAUGUUCUUUUUGUGGAAUUUUGUGUUUGGUUUAUGUCAGAUGUAACGGGACCCCUGUCUUCCAAACAGUUCCACUUUCAACUCAUCUAUCCACAGAACAUUCUCCCAAAAGGUUUAAGGAUCAUCAAGGUGCGUUUUAGCAAAAUUCAUAUGAGUCUUAAUGUUCUUCUGGGUUAGCAGUGGUUUUCACCUCGCCACUCUUCCAUGGAUGCCAUUUUUGCACAGUGUCUUUCUGAUAGUGGAGUCAAGAACAGUCACCUUUAUGUAUGCAAGAGAGGCCUGUAGGUCCUCUGAUGUUGUCCUUGGCUCAUUUGUGACUUGCUGGAUGAGUAGUUGCUGUGCUCUUGGGGGAAUUUUGGAAGGUCGGCCACUUCUGGGAAGGUUCGUUACUACGCCUAGUUUUUCCAUUUGGAGAGAACAACUCUCACUGUGGUCCUUUGGAGUUCCAGAGCCUUUGAAAUAGCUUUGUAACCCUUUCCCAGACUGACGUAUUUCAAUCACCUUCUUCCUCAUCAUUUCUGGAAUUUCUUUCAAUUUUGGCACAAUGUGUUACUUGGGUAAGACCUUUUAACCUUCAUGCUGUUGAAAAAUUUCUAUUUAAGUGUUGAUUUGAUUGAACAGGGUUUACAAUAAUCAGGCCUGGUUGUGUUUAGUCCAGCUGAACCCCAUUAUGAAUGCAGUUUCAUAUAUUUGGGGAAUUAAAUUUUCACACAGGCCCCGUUGGUACUGGAUAACUUUUUUGCUUCAAUAAAUAAAUAUCAUUUAAAUCUA
RNA transcript from Ictalurus punctatus (channel catfish), 1747 nucleotides. RefSeq lists it as uncharacterized. The transcript is spliced from 4 exons. NCBI's taxonomy places the organism in Eukaryota, Metazoa, Chordata, Actinopteri, Siluriformes, Ictaluridae. The record is from RefSeq and is a predicted model, not a curated record.